UACGAAGGGGGGCUAGCGUUGUUCGGAAUUACUGGGCGUAAAGCGCGCGCAGGCGGUCUUCCAAGUCAGUGGUGAAAGCCUGGAGCUCAACUCCAGAACUGCCAUUGAAACUGUUAGACUUGAGUACGAGAGAGGUGAGUGGAAUUCCCAGUGUAGAGGUGAAAUUCGUAGAUAUUGGGAAGAACACCAGUGGCGAAGGCGGCUCACUGGCUCGUAACUGACGCUCAGGCGCGACAGCGUGGGGGAUCAAACAGG
Molecule: ribosomal RNA, 255 nt
Filed under: uncultured bacterium
Lineage: Bacteria
Description: partial 16S ribosomal RNA
Rfam family: Bacterial small subunit ribosomal RNA
Source: RNAcentral